UAUUUAUUASAUAAAAAACCAACGCCCUUCGGGGCUCCUUGGUGAAUCAUAAUAACUUAACGAAUCSSAUGGSCUUGCGCCGGCGAUGGUUCAUUCAAAUUUCUGCCCUAUCAACUUUCGAUGGKAGGAUAGUGGCCUACCAUGGUGGCAACGGGUAACGGGGAAUUAGGGUUCRAUUCCGGAGAGGGAGCCUGAGAAACGGCUACCACAUCCAAGGRAGGCAGCAGGCGCGCAAAUUACCCAAUCCCGAUACGGGGAGGUAGUGACAAUAAAUACUGAUACGGGGCUCUUUUGGGUCUCGKAAUUGGAAUGAGAACAAUUUAAAUCCCUUAACGAGGAACAAUUGGAGGGSAAGUCUGGUGCCAGCAGCCGCGGUAAUUCCAGCUCCAAUAGCGUAUAUUAAAGUUGCUGCAGUUAAAAAGCUCGUAGUUGAACCUUGGGUCUGGCUGGCCGGUCCGCCUCACCGCGAGUACUGGCCCGGCUGGACCUUUCCUUCUGGGGAACCUCAUGGCCUUCACUGGCUGUGGGGGGAACCAGGACUUUUACUGUGAAAAAAUUAGAGUGKKCRAAGCAGGC
This 576-nucleotide ribosomal RNA is filed under the name uncultured eukaryote. Its description in RNAcentral is "partial 18S ribosomal RNA". It matches the Rfam family "Eukaryotic small subunit ribosomal RNA", at positions 205 to 796 of the family's 1831-position model. The record is from RNAcentral.